RNAcentral lists this long non-coding RNA (4133 nucleotides) under Setaria viridis. Its description in RNAcentral is "long non-coding RNA (SVIR_LNC011212)". Lineage: Eukaryota; Viridiplantae; Streptophyta; Magnoliopsida; Poales; Poaceae. The record is from RNAcentral.
AUCGUGGUUGCUGGACUGUUGAACAGAAGUCGAACAGAAGGACGGUUCGAUCCCUCCUGUCCUGUGUUUAACAUCGAUGCGUGGGGUCCACAUACCAUAAAAAAUAUUCUCUCUCCCCUCCGUUCCUCUUCCUCCGCGCGAGCAGAGGAAAAGUCCCAGCGCCGUCUCCAUCUCUCGUUCCCCGUCCUUUCUACUCUUCUUCCCCAACUCUAUCACUCCAGCCAUGGAUCAAAGAAUCCAUGGAGGAGAGCAAAUCAGAGCACAUUGAGGGCCUGCUAGAGCAGAAUAGCAGAUGAUGCUCCUCAGGGACAAGCGCCUCACGUUCUCCGUUUCCCAUCCUUCUUCCUCCCUAUUGCUCCUCAACAAUUUGGCCAUGAAUCUACAAAAUUAGUCUUAGAUGUGAGCAGAUUGGAUCAUUGGAAGGCCAGUUUGGUUUCUUUGCCCACAUAAGCUAGCUGAGCAAGGAUUGCCUAACCUUGCCCGGCAAAGCUAGGCAAGCAAAGAGCCAUGCGUUUGGUUUCACAAUCAGUCAGCCAUGCAGGAGCCCCAUGCGCUGUACGCAGCUUUUUUUGUGCCAGGCGCUCGCCUUGCCGGUGCGGGAGAGCGAAAUUGGCUCGCCUGGCUCAGCAAGGAAAUCCUUGCUCAAGCAAAGCUAGCUUGCCAAGCAAAGCUAGAUUUUAAAGCUAGUACCAAACAUAUAUCCUUGCCUGGCAAGGUGAGGCUAAGCAAGGCAAGGGUGGAAUUGUUGCUGCAGAGGACAAGGCGGAUCCGGACGGAGAUGGAGCGGCGGCGGUUGCUUGCCAUGGCGUCGCCGGCCUCGGCGGCGGCGGAUCUGUAUUCCGUGCAGCUCUACUCCUAGCCGUCGCCCCCGUCGCCGUUUCCAUCCAAAGCUCAUCGUCACCGCCUUCUUCGCUCGGUGGCCGGAAUUGAUUUUAGAGCAACACCGGAGCUGCCCUUACAAUUGCAGUUUUGGCUGCAGUAACAGACUUGACGGCCACCCAAUCAGCGCCCUUCGAAUAUCUAUCUGGCAUGUUUAGUUCACUCCAAAAUUCUAACUUUGUCACUGUGUAAAAAGAAGAUUCCUCAUCACAUCAAACUUGCGGUACAUGCAUAGAGUACUGAAUGUAGACGAAAUCAAAAACUAAUUGCACAGUUUUGUUGUACUUUGCGAAACGAAUCUUUUGAGCCUAAUUAGUCAAUAUUUGGAUAAUAAUUCACAAAUACAAACGAAACGCUACAGUGUUGCUACAGUAUUUUUGACACCUCAAAGUUGGGUAACUAAACACCUAGUCUUGCCUCGUGUCAUGCUGCACGGAGUUACAGCAAAACCAACUAAUCCCAGAGAUUAGAACAGAAACCUAUAGAGUCUCUGUCAGAGUGUGCAUGGCGUCCGGGACACCCACACAACGGCGCUCGGCGUGUUACUCAAGAGACGGGAAAAAAGAAACACGAGGGGCCCGGCGAUAAGAUGAGCCGGCCGGUUGCUAUCAGCAUGGCAUCCAACGCUGCUAAUCGCCACACGGCGACCGUGACACCUGCUGCAUUUUCUUCUUCUUCCGAGUUCCAACCAUGCGGCUACAACUAUUGACUAGCAUAAGAAAUGCACACGCAUCGAUCGACUGAUGACGAUGCACGCCGCGUCACUGUUUUGAUGACAACAGCGGUUAGUAGUAGUAUAUGGUUUGGCAGGAUUGACUAAUUCAUUGUUAGAUCAGUAUAUUCAGGAUCGUCAUGCAUCCACUAGCUCGUUAAAAUUGCUGUGAAAAACUGAAUAUAUAUAAUGCUUAUUCGAGAGGCGAAAAUCGUAAAGUGAAGAUGACUGGACAGGCUAAAGCGACGCGGUUGAACCUGGAGGUGUCAGGGUGUAGUGGAGAGAACAACAGCUGAUCCUUUAGCGCAGUCAGCAUUUGGUAGCUUUGGCCUUUAUUAGGUGAUGGAUAACCCAAUGCAAUCUGUAAAAGGCCCCCCCUGUUUCACGAUCCUGGAAGCUAAGACAUUUUCUCCUCCUUUCAAUUCCACAGUUUUAUUGAUAUGGCGAUCAUAUAUAGCCUGGAAAGCAUGGAGCUGAGGCCUCAGCAGCUACCGUUAGCCCAUGCAUCAGGGUACUUAACGAGAUUUGGGUCCUUGUAGGAUCGGAAUUUACAGACUUGCAUAUGAAUUUAUGAUCUCUGUGUUAGCUAGUUCAGUGGAACGGGCUGACCACAAACCACCAAAGGAAAAAAAAGAAAAAGGUUGCAUCACGAAGAUAUAAACUACAAAGUCUGUCUCUUUCCUCCGUGACAUUUCAAGCAGAUUGCGAUCUAAUCUGUUUACCCCAUCGAGAGCAACAUAGUUUCUUCUUCUUCUUCUUCUUCUUCUUCUUGAAAGAGAGAAAAAAAAAAGAGGGUGGAGCCAAGUCCUGCUUUGCAGGUCAUCCAAGUCCACGCAACUGUUUCAUAUACUGGACAGUGCUGUUACCUACAGAUGGUGGCCCAUCCGUGUGCGUAGUAUUCAGACGAAUUGCCGUAUGGUUGCAUCUGAACUGAAAACGAUGUCAGUAGUUGAGCAUGCAAAAGAAAGCACUCUUUCUCUUCUGAAUCCAAAACAUUUGCAGCGCUGCAGGUUUCCUUCAAGGAACCAUACGCGUAAAGCAUGUACUGAUAUACCGCAACGGGCAACGGGCAACAGCCGUGCUGUGAUUCCUCGUAGCGCUAGUUGCUGCAGGCUGCUACGGCUAGUGCAAAACCUACGUGCUCCACUCCCAAGUCCCAAGUUCAGAGAGCGAUGCAGUACAGAAUCGGAGGAGACAAGCAGUGGAGGACCGCGCUCUGCAGGCGCACGGUCGUCACCUUGGACCUUGGCCUGGCGCUGAAAGGAAAGGAGUACGUACCGUGACCAAUUGACGAGGAGGGGAAGGGAACACCCAGAAAGAUUCUUUUCUCGAAGGCGUCACUUCACCUUGUCGAUCUGUUUCGUUUCACCUAGCAGUAAACCAGUAAAAGAAGAUCCCGACUGCCAGUAAAACUGAUCACUGUUCCCCAAUCCCCAUCGGCAUCCUCCGAUCCAGCUGCCAGCCGAGCCAGAAAUGGGCCAUGGAUCCAUCCAUACUCCCCAGUAGGUAUGCUACGUGUACGUACACAAGUAGUAGAUGGGAAGGAAGGUCCAAUCCAAACCCAACCACUCUUCUCCGUAUGGAGUCCGGUGGCAUGGUAGAUGCAUCGUCCAUCAAUUAUUGGAUUGGUUUGGCAAAAACCCUCCUCUCUUUCUUCCCCAACCCAACAGACGCAUCAGGACGGACGACCUACGGCAGGGACCAGGCAGCCAUUAUGCUCGAUUAAAGCGGCUAUGCUUCUGUUCGGGCAGGAAAACAAGCCUAGGACAGUCGCAGCGUCAGAUGAGAUCUCUGGAAUCCUGCUGCCUCUUUUCUUCCGUUGCAAAGGUUUUAUAUGAAACUGGAUUAUACGCGAGUGCUUUGCUUUUGAGAGAGUUUUGUGGUCAGAUACAAUCUUUCUUGAUGCGUCGUCGUUCAUCAAACACAUUGACAGUUCUUUACCGUACGGAAAGGCUCAGUUCGAUAACAUGAUGAUUCAUUCAUAGAGCAGAGCUUUCCGAACGCCAUGGAAUGGAUUGAACUGAGGAGGACACAAGAUGUUUAUUCCUUUUGACAGUGGGGAAACAAAAGGGAAGCAACAAUCCUUGGAAAACUUGUCAUCAUCCCUUCCCUUCCAUCCCGCUGCUACGAAAACAUCUCGCCCAUCGCCGCAUGAUCAUAAGAGUUUUACUACUAAUAAUACAAAAAAAUCAAAGAUCCAAAUAAUAUCAAAACCCCCGUGCUUCCUCCUCCUCGCAAAGAAAGAGAAACAGCAAAAAUUCCCCACCCCCCUCUCUCUACACAGACACGCACGCACCCUUAUUUUCUCUUCGUUCUCUUUUUUGUUUUAUUUUUCUUCUUGUCUUUUUAUGUUACAGCCGCCGCCGGUUCCUUCUCUAGCUGCCUUGUUUUGGUCACUAGAUAGAAGAAAAGAUCUGCCGCCCGUCAGGCGGCGACGAUGCCGGUGGUGAAGAAGAUCUGCCCGCCGCCGCCGCUGCACGGCGACCCGGCCAUGUCGGCGGCCGCCUUCCUCGGCAGACCGUCGGCGGCGGCCGGGGACACG